GCAGGAUUAGCAUGCGGGACUGGGUGUCUGAAGGUGACAUGAAAAAAAAGUAUCAAGUGUAAUAGGAAGACUGACGGAACGGGUCAUUUUGGAAGGAAUUUCAGUGUACUUCUAUCUAAAAGAACCGAGUUCCUGGGCAGAUAAUGCUGCUGGAUACAAAAGGAAAGUAUAUUGUCUUGAGUGUACAAAUUUUUGGGUGGUACCAUUGCAAGCCAGCACAUUAAAAAUAGAGGUCUAGUUGGACACCAGCCAGGCAUUCUGGAUUUGGACAACGCUGAAGGCAGGUUGCAUCUCUGGCAGCUUCAUUAAAAACAAUAUUUGGAAUUACCUCUCCUUC
Long non-coding RNA from Polypterus senegalus (gray bichir), 337 nucleotides. RefSeq lists it as uncharacterized. The transcript is spliced from 3 exons. The record is from RefSeq and is a predicted model, not a curated record. NCBI's taxonomy places the organism in Eukaryota, Metazoa, Chordata, Cladistia, Polypteriformes, Polypteridae.